Molecule: transfer RNA, 69 nt
Filed under: Phyllopteryx taeniolatus (common seadragon)
Lineage: Eukaryota; Metazoa; Chordata; Actinopteri; Syngnathiformes; Syngnathidae
Description: tRNA-His
Rfam family: tRNA
About the family: Transfer RNA (tRNA) molecules are approximately 80 nucleotides in length. Their secondary structure includes four short double-helical elements and three loops (D, anti-codon, and T loops).
Source: RNAcentral
GUAGAUAUAGUUUAAACAAAACAUUAGAUUGUGAUUCUAAAGAUAGGAGCUAAAACCCCCUUAUCCACC